CAGUAGCCACGGUAAUACGUAGGUGGCAAGCGUUGUCCGGAAUUAUUGGGCGUAAAGGGCUCGCAGGCGGUUUCUUAAGUCCGAUGUGAAAGCCCCCGGCUCAACCGGGGAGGGUCAUUGGAAACUGGGAAACUUGAGUGCAGAAGAGGAGAGUGGAAUUCCACGUGUAGCGGUGAAAUGCGUAGAGAUGUGGAGGAACACCAGUGGCGAAGGCGACUCUCUGGUCUGUAACUGACGCUGAGGAGCGAAAGCGUGGGGAGCGAACAGGAUUAGAUACCCCAGUAGUCCCUGUCUCUUAUAC
RNAcentral lists this ribosomal RNA (301 nucleotides) under uncultured bacterium. RNAcentral's name for it is "partial 16S ribosomal RNA". It matches the Rfam family "Bacterial small subunit ribosomal RNA", at positions 509 to 807 of the family's 1533-position model. The record is from RNAcentral.